Molecule: transfer RNA, 71 nt
Filed under: Trichonephila inaurata madagascariensis
Lineage: Eukaryota; Metazoa; Arthropoda; Arachnida; Araneae; Nephilidae
Rfam family: tRNA
About the family: Transfer RNA (tRNA) molecules are approximately 80 nucleotides in length. Their secondary structure includes four short double-helical elements and three loops (D, anti-codon, and T loops).
Source: Rfam by way of RNAcentral
GGGGGUAUAGCUCAGUGGAACAGCAUUCGACUGCAGAUCGAGAGAUCCCGGUUCAAACCCGGAUGCUCUCU